This 774-nucleotide ribosomal RNA is filed under the name uncultured Neocallimastigales. RNAcentral's name for it is "partial large subunit ribosomal RNA". It matches the Rfam family "Eukaryotic large subunit ribosomal RNA", at positions 24 to 631 of the family's 3401-position model. Lineage: Eukaryota; Fungi; Neocallimastigomycota; Neocallimastigomycetes; Neocallimastigales. The record is from RNAcentral.
UAUGUGAUCGUCUCUCGCAUAUCAAUAAGCGGAGGAAAAGAAACUAACAAGGAUUCCCCUAGUAACGGCGAGUGAAGCGGGAAGAGCUCAAAUUUGAAAUCUUAAAGGGUUUCCCUUUACGAAUUGUAGUUUAAAGAAGUGUUUUCUGUUGAGGUUUUGGUAAAAGUUCUUUGGAAUAGGACAUCAUAGAGGGUGAGAAUCCCGUAUUUGACCUUUACUUUCAACUUUGUGAUACACUUUCAAAGAGUCGGAUUGUUUGGGAAUGCAGUCCAAAAUGGGUGGUAAAUUUCAUCUAAAGCUAAAUAUUGGCGAGAGACCGAUAGCGAACAAGUACCGUGAGGGAAAGAUGAAAAGAACUUUGAAAAGAGAGUUAAACAGUACGUGAAAUUGUCAAAAGGGAAGCGUUUGACACCAGUGUUGUUUUUCUGAAAAUCAAUUAAAGAACUGUUUAUGCUAAGUUGUUUAGACUUUAUCAGCUAACUGCUUAGUUUUGAGCUUUUCUUUAAUGCACUUUUCAGUUAACAAGUCAACAUCAAUUUCUUCUGCUGUAAAAAAGCUUGAGGAAGGUGGCUUGAGAUUCGUCUUAAGUGUUUAUAGCCUCUUGCCUAUGCAGUCGGAGAGAUUGAGGUCUGCAGCGUAGAUCCUUCGGGACUAAAUGCAUUUGUGCUAAGUUAUAGCAUUUUAUAGACAACUUGUUGACUAUGAUUUGUCUUGUAGCUUACUCGCUUAUGUUAUUUUACCUACGCUUAGGAUGUUGAUCUACAGAGCGAGAGU